Long non-coding RNA from Pongo pygmaeus (Bornean orangutan), 893 nucleotides. RefSeq lists it as uncharacterized. The record is from RefSeq and is a predicted model, not a curated record. The transcript has 3 exons. NCBI's taxonomy places the organism in Eukaryota, Metazoa, Chordata, Mammalia, Primates, Hominidae.
GCUCGCGUCCGGUGAGUUCCUAUUGGCCAACGGGAGGCCCCGGUCGGAGAGCGCCCCGGGACAGGCCCCUGUGCCUCCAGCUUUGCGGAGUGACGCAGGCCCUGGGCUACAGCAACCUUACCAGCCCCUCCACCUUAGAGGUGGCAGUGGCUCUCUGUGGCUGCGAUUUCUUUCUCGGAGCGUCCUCCCCAUCCCAUUCGGCCUCUGCCUCCACCGUCGUCUCUGUAACCCGUUCCCUGUGGGAGCGUCCCUGUUGCAGCGUUUAUGGGUUUCGGUUUUCUGGCUGAACAGUGAUUAACGCGAGGGAAGGCGCUGACGGCAAGGUGGCAGGAAGAAAAUUCCAACACGGACCACAACACCUAUGGACCUGGAAAACAUUGUGCUCAGUGAAAGAAGCCAGACACAGAAGGACAAUGUUGUAUGAGGGACACAUUCCAGCAAAAAGACACAAAGUGACAGAAUGGCUGCCUUUGAGUGAGGGUGAGAAGAGGUGGAUGGCAGGUACCAGAAGAGAAGGGAAUAAAUAUAUGAAGAAAUACGACCCUCUCAGGCAGUGCCUGGCACAGCAUAAAUGCCCAGGAAACAGAGGCCCAGUUGCUCACGUUCCCGGCGACAGGGCUGGGACCAGCGCCGGCUUCCUGGUGAAGGAGGCCACUCUUUCCUCUUGAGGGGUCUGAGUACGCAUGUCAGCACCCGGUGGGCACCCAGCACCCAGCUGACCACGGGCCUUCACCUCUGUGGGGGUCACUGGCCUGGCCCUGAGAACUGGAUGAAAGCUGGAAUAAUUCUUCCUGUAAUAAAGCAAACGUGACCACGUUCAACCUUUCCCUUCAUUUCAGAGGCUUCCCGCACCCGAUGCCUCCCACAGCUUCAGGCUGAGUCCCCAGGUGCUC